AUGAGCAAAACCCGAGUCAGCCUACCAGACCCUCAGACACCACGUGGAGGGGGACCGAGAGCGCACCGUUCAUGGACUGGUCAGCAUCCGGCCAUGUCAUCUGAAAUCAUGGACAGGAUAAACUUGGGACUAUGUCUAAUCACCUGGAUUCUUCACUCGCCUGACAAGGUGGACAAAAGGAAAGAAACACCAGGAAGAGGCAGAGAGAGAUGGCAGGUCCACCUUCAACAAAUUUCCUACGGUUUAACCAGUUCUGGUUGCCUGUGA
This 267-nucleotide long non-coding RNA is filed under the name Sus scrofa (pig). RNAcentral's name for it is "lncRNA (ENSSSCG00040066831.1)". Lineage: Eukaryota; Metazoa; Chordata; Mammalia; Artiodactyla; Suidae. The record is from RNAcentral.